Molecule: transfer RNA, 74 nt
Filed under: Kiritimatiellia bacterium
Lineage: Bacteria; Pseudomonadati; Kiritimatiellota; Kiritimatiellia
Also listed under: 1 other name
Description: Kiritimatiellae bacterium (gut metagenome) tRNA-Gln
Rfam family: tRNA
About the family: Transfer RNA (tRNA) molecules are approximately 80 nucleotides in length. Their secondary structure includes four short double-helical elements and three loops (D, anti-codon, and T loops).
Source: RNAcentral
UGUCCCGUGGUGUAGAGGCUGCACAGGAGAUUUUGAUUCUCUUAGUUCUGGUUCGAUUCCAGACGGGACAACCA